RNAcentral lists this ribosomal RNA (253 nucleotides) under uncultured bacterium. RNAcentral describes it as "partial 16S ribosomal RNA". It matches the Rfam family "Bacterial small subunit ribosomal RNA", at positions 524 to 776 of the family's 1533-position model. The record is from RNAcentral.
UACGUAGGGGGCUAGCGUUGUCCGGAAUCAUUGGGCGUAAAGAGCGUGUAGGCGGUCCGGUAAGUCCGCUGUGAAAGUCGGGGGCUCAACCCUCGAAUGCCGGUGGAUACUGUCGGGCUAGAGUGCGGAAGAGGCGAGUGGAAUUCCUGGUGUAGCGGUGAAAUGCGCAGAUAUCAGGAGGAACGCCAAUUGCGAAGGCGGCUCUCUGGGACGGUACUGACGCUGAGACGCGAAAGCGUGGGGAGCGAACAGG